CACAUAGUUAGCCGAGGCUUAUUCCUGAGGUACCGUCCUUUCUCUUCCCCAGAAAAGGGUUUUACGACCGAAGGCCUUCAUCACCCACGCGGCGUUGCUGCCUCAGGCUUUCGCCCAUUGGGCAAUAUUCCUC
RNAcentral lists this ribosomal RNA (133 nucleotides) under uncultured bacterium. RNAcentral's name for it is "partial 16S ribosomal RNA". The record is from RNAcentral.